UCUGAAUAGGGCGUUUAGUAUUUGGUCGUAGACCCGAAACCAGGUGAUCUACCCUUGGUCAGGUUGAAGUUCAGGUAACACUGAAUGGAGGACCGAACCGACUUACGUUGAAAAGUGAGCGGAUGAACUGAGGGUAGCGGAGAAAUUCCAAUCGAACCUGGAGAUAGCUGGUUCUCUCCGAAAUAGCUUUAGGGCUAGCCUCAAGUGAUGAUUAUUGGAGGUAGAGCACUGUUUGGACGAGGGGCCCCUCUCGGGUUACCGAAUUCAGACAAACUCCGAAUGCCAAUUAAUUUAACUUGGGAGUCAGAACAUGGGUGAUAAGGUCCGUGUUCGAAAGGGAAACAGCCCAGACCACCAGCUAAGGUCCCAAAAUAUAUGUUAAGUGGAAAAGGAUGUGGCGUUGCCCAGACAACUAGGAUGUUGGCUUAGAAGCAGCCAUCAUUUAAAGAGUGCGUAAUAGCUCACUAGUCGAGUGACACUGCGCCGAAAAUGUACCGGGGCUAAACAUAUUACCGAAGCUGUGGAUUGUCCUUUGGACAAUGGUAGGAGAGCGUUCUAAGGGCGUUGAAGCAUGAUCGUAAGGACAUGUGGAGCGCUUAGAAGUGAGAAUGCCGGUGUGAGUAGCGAAAGACGGGUGAGAAUCCCGUCCACCGAUUGACUAAGGUUUCCAGAGGAAGGCUCGUCCGCUCUGGGUUAGUCGGGUCCUAAGCUGAGGCCGACAGGCGUAGGCGAUGGAUAACAGGUUGAUAUUCCUGUACCACCUAUA
This 766-nucleotide ribosomal RNA is filed under the name Staphylococcus aureus. RNAcentral's name for it is "partial 23S ribosomal RNA". It matches the Rfam family "Bacterial large subunit ribosomal RNA", at positions 682 to 1452 of the family's 2925-position model. The record is from RNAcentral. Lineage: Bacteria; Bacillati; Bacillota; Bacilli; Caryophanales; Staphylococcaceae.